RNAcentral lists this long non-coding RNA (587 nucleotides) under Cucumis sativus (cucumber). RNAcentral's name for it is "long non-coding RNA (CSAT_LNC001814)". Lineage: Eukaryota; Viridiplantae; Streptophyta; Magnoliopsida; Cucurbitales; Cucurbitaceae. The record is from RNAcentral.
UCUUCUCCUAAAAAUGGAAACUUGUGGCAGAACAAGAUUAACCUUACCCCUCCUGCUCUGCAGCUCCCUGGUAGUCGGUUAAAGGCUACCUUGAGUGCAAGAGAUUUGGAUUUAGAGAUGGAAUUGCUCGGAUUAGAAAAGAACGUGAGCCAAUUACAACAUCAACAACAGUUGAUUGACGAGAUUAGCCGGCUCUCAUCUCCUUACUGGAAUGCAGAUGUAAGCAGGACUGCAGAGUUGAAGCCAUCGAACCUUGAUGACAUGUUUGGAUCAUUAGAUUCUUCCUUAUUGUCUCAGUUGCAAGGCGCCUCACUAAAAACACCAAUCUCAGCUCAAGUUCAAUCCCCGACUGGGCUGCAGAUGCGCCAAAGCAUGAGCCAACUUCGUGCAAGUUACCCAGCUAAUAACCUAUCAUCCUCACCUGUAAAGAAACCCUCCUCUUUUGGCUUUGACUCAUCAAGUGCAGUGGCAGCUGCAGUGAUGAACUCAAGGUCUGCUGCCUUUGCAAAACGAAGCCAGAGUUUCAUUGAUCGAGCUGCAGUAUCCCGUCUUCCUGGGUUCACCGGAGCUGCAAAUUCUGCAGCUAC